This is an RNA transcript of Oncorhynchus gorbuscha (pink salmon), 1077 nucleotides long. It is a transcript of the gene named CUB and sushi domain-containing protein 3-like, with no coding region annotated. The record is from RefSeq and is a predicted model, not a curated record. NCBI's taxonomy places the organism in Eukaryota, Metazoa, Chordata, Actinopteri, Salmoniformes, Salmonidae. The transcript has 4 exons.
CCCUGGCCCACAGCACGUAUAGCCGGGUUACCGAGGAGACCUGGGCUAUGGAUGGUUUUGUCUCAGCUGAACCUGACGGGGGCAGUUAUGUAUUCCAAGGCUUCAUACAGGGGAAAGACUAUGGACAGUUCGGGCUGCAGAGACUAGGUAGGUAGGAUUUAGAACAAGGCUUCUGUCUGCAGGGGAAAGACUAUGGACAGUUCGGGCUGCAGAGACUAGGUAGGUAGGAUUUAGAACAAGGCUUCUGUCUGCAGGGGAAAGACUAUGGACAGUUCGGGCUGCAGAGACUAGGUAUGAAGGUGAGAGAGAUCAACAUCACCACUGCAGGUCCUCCCCAUGUCUCCAAAAGCAGCUCUAUGGUCAUAGCCAUCCUGGUACCUUUCUUUGGCCUCGUGUUGGCAGGCCUGGGAUUCUAUCUCUACAAACAACGGAAAACGGAUCAGACCCAGUACACCGGCUGUUCAGUCCACGAGAACAGCAACGGCCAGGCGACAUAUGAGAACCCCAUGUACGACACCAACACCAAGUCUGCGGAGGGGAAAGUGGUUCGCUUCGACCCCAACCUCAACACCGUAUGCACUGUGGUUUGAAGAUGUGUGCCAAACGCACCGGGGUUUGACGAUGCUUUUGCCGAACAGGAAAAGCUUGUUCAGAAAUGCAGCACUGGUUUGAUGCUACACUGUACUGUGGUUUAUUGAUGCUGUCUGACGAACCGAAUUGCCCGAGAGUUCUUUUGGUUAAAAAAAAAACUUUAAAAAAUGGAUGUCUUGUCUUUUAUAAUAUCUCUCUGCAACAAGUUUCUGAAGACGGCACAGCACAGCCUCGGGAAACAGGAAGGCAAAGCACACCUUCAGGAUCAACAGUUGUGCGUGUUGUGGAUGAUGGACGGGGUGAGUCAGCAAGCAGAAUGAGACGGUCUUCUUUUUCAAAUACAUCUUCACCUGAUGGGUGAAGUUAUUCCUAACUGCACUCUGAGAGUGAUGCUAUGUGAAUAAUGCUGUUCCCGACAUGUUGGUACACAAGAGUUGUUUACGCUCCAGUCAACGCAAACAAUGGAGCGUCGUUAAGGCAACAGUC